AUGGCAGAGUAUUUGGCUGUGAUUAGUACAUUAAAACGUGGUCAUAUAUGGCGUGUAGGAGAUGGAACUAAUAUUGAUAUCUGGAAAGACGAAUGGAUCCCAAAUAGUGCAUCAUGUAAAGUUAUAACUAGAAGGGGUGAGAACAUCUUUAGUAGGGUGAGCGACCUUAUUGAUCCUAUCACAAAUCACUGGGAUGUCGAUUUAGUGAGGCAGACCUUUUGGCAAGUGGAUGUUCAAAAGAUUCUUGCUAUACCUUUAUCAUCUUCUGGCAUGCAAGAUUUUGUUGCUUGGAACCUGACUCGUACAAACACCUUUUCUGUGCGCUCAGCUUAUUAUGCAGAAUGGGAGGGCCAAUAUGGCCAAAGGUUAAACUGA
This 375-nucleotide ribosomal RNA is filed under the name Triticum aestivum (bread wheat). Its description in RNAcentral is "partial small subunit ribosomal RNA". Lineage: Eukaryota; Viridiplantae; Streptophyta; Magnoliopsida; Poales; Poaceae. The record is from RNAcentral.